GAUGAACGCUAGCUACAGGCUUAACACAUGCAAGUCGCGGGGCAGCAUGGGGGUUGCUUGCCAUCCCCGAUGGCGACCGGCGCACGGGUGAGUAACGCGUAUCCAACCUGCCCUUCACCACGGGAUAACCCGGCGAAAGUCGGACUAAUACCGUAUGUUGUCCAUUGACGGCAUCCGAUUUGGACGAAAGGCUUGGCGGUGAGGGAUGGGGAUGCGUCCGAUUAGCCAGACGGCGGGGUAACGGCCCACCGUGGCUACGAUCGGUAGGGGUUCUGAGAGGAAGGUCCCCCACACUGGAACUGAGACACGGUCCAGACUCCUACGGGAGGCAGCAGUGAGGAAUAGUGGGCAAUGGGCGUAAGCCUGAACCAGCCAAGUAGCGUGCAGGAUGACGGCCCUAUGGGUUGUAAACUGCUUUUAUGCGGGGAUAAAGUGGCCCACGUGUGGGCUUUUGCAGGUACCGCAUGAAUAAGGACCGGCUAAUUCCGUG
This 490-nucleotide ribosomal RNA is filed under the name uncultured bacterium. RNAcentral describes it as "partial 16S ribosomal RNA". It matches the Rfam family "Bacterial small subunit ribosomal RNA", at positions 28 to 507 of the family's 1533-position model. The record is from RNAcentral.